This 628-nucleotide long non-coding RNA is filed under the name Toxoplasma gondii VEG. The record is from RNAcentral. Lineage: Eukaryota; Apicomplexa; Conoidasida; Eucoccidiorida; Sarcocystidae.
CCCGAUUAGAGACGCGACGGCACGGGUCGUGCAAAGAUUCGAGUGACUGCGUAAGGGCCGGCUACAUACAUGCCUGUGCGAUGACUACAGUAUAGCGGAGAUGCAGAAGCCACCAGAACGUCGUCUGGCACUAUACUUUCAGUGUUCAAGCCUCACUACGUCAUAAAACAGGACCAGCGAGCCGCAAAUGGCAUCUUCAAUCAGGAACGGUCCGUGGGAAAGUUACUCGUCACAUUUUGGUGGUAGACGGUUUGCACGUGACAAUACAUAGUUGACUAUGAGUCACCAGUACGCGGGAGUGUGUGUUGUGUGCGUUAUGAGCAGAUACUGUGCUUUCUGCUGUUACGGCAGGAGAGUCGCCCAGGUCGUGCUCUGUUCUAUGUAGUGGCUCACUGAAAGUGGAUCCCCUUUGUGGAUUCGAAGAGCGUUGUAUCCCACCGACUUACGCAGCAAGACAACUACCAACAGAAAAAGUGUGAUUUUGUGCAUGAAAGUAAACUUAUGCAGGAAAACCACUCGUUUCGAUGAUUAUCCUCUCAGCCAGCACACUGAGGCAGAUAGAUACUCCUCCACUGCCCCUUCAACAAAUGAUUUCGGCGACAAAUAUAUUGGAUUUUCGAACACUCGC